Molecule: ribosomal RNA, 468 nt
Filed under: uncultured bacterium
Lineage: Bacteria
Description: partial 16S ribosomal RNA
Rfam family: Bacterial small subunit ribosomal RNA
Source: RNAcentral
GACGAACGCUGGCGGCGUGCUUAACACAUGCAAGUCGAACGGAAAGGCCCUGCUUUUGUGGGGUGCUCGAGUGGCGAACGGGUGAGUAACACGUGAGUAACCUGCCCUUGACUGUGGGAUAACUUCAGGAAACUGGGGCUAAUACCGGAUAGGAGCUCCUGCUGCAUGGUGGGGGUUGGAAAGUUUCGGCGGUUGGGGAUGGACUAGCGGCUUACCAGCUUGUUGGUGGGGUAGUGGCUUACCAAGGCUUUGACGGGUAGCCGGCCUGAGAGGGUGACCGGCCACAUUGGGCCUGAGCUGCGGCCCAGCCUACUCCGGGAGGCAGCAGAGCAGAAUAUUGCACAAUGGGCGGAAGCCUGAUGCAGCAACGCCGCGUGCGGGAUGACGGCCUUCGGGUUGUAAACCGCUUUCGCCUGUGACGAAGCGUGAGUGACGGUACUGGGUAAAGAAGCACCGGCUAACUACGUG